GACGAACGCUGGCGGCGUGCUUAACACAUGCAAGUCGAACGGUAAGGCCCUUCGGGGUACACGAGUGGCGAACGGGUGAGUAACACGUGGGUGAUCUGCCCUGCACUUCGGGAUAAGCCUGGGAAACUGGGGCUAAUACCGGAUAGGACUCUUGGCUUCACGGUUGGGGGGUGAAAGCUUUUGCGGUGUGGGAUGGGCCCGCGGCCUAUCAGCUUGUUGGUGGGGUAAUGGCCUACCAAGGCGACGACGGGUAGCCGGCCUGAGAGGGUGACCGGUCACACUGGGACUGAGAUACGGCCCAGACUCCUACGGGAGGCAGCAGUGGGGAAUAUUGCACAAUGGGCGCAAGCCUGAUGCAGCGACGCCGCGUGAGGGAUGACGGCCUUCGGGUUGUAAACCUCUUUCAGCUAUGACGAAGCGCAAGUGACGGUAGUAGCAGAAGAAGGACCGGCCAACUACGUGCCAGCAGCCGCAGUAA
Molecule: ribosomal RNA, 478 nt
Filed under: uncultured bacterium
Lineage: Bacteria
Description: partial 16S ribosomal RNA
Rfam family: Bacterial small subunit ribosomal RNA
Source: RNAcentral